This 514-nucleotide ribosomal RNA is filed under the name uncultured eukaryote. RNAcentral describes it as "eukaryotic LSU rRNA". It matches the Rfam family "Eukaryotic large subunit ribosomal RNA", at positions 2095 to 2617 of the family's 3401-position model. The record is from RNAcentral.
UAAAACAACUGACUCAGAACUGAAGCGGACAAGGGGAAUCCGACUGUUUAAUAAAAACAUAGCUUUGUGAUGGCCUGAAAAGGUGUUGACACAAAGUGAUUUCUGCCCAGUGCUUUGAACGUGAAUAUGAAGUAAUUUGUAGAAGCUCAGGUAAACGGCGGGAGUAACUAUGACUCUCUUAAGGUAGCCAAAUGCCUCGUCAUCUAAUUAGUGACGCGCAUGAAUGGAUCAAUGAGAUUCCCACUGUCCCUAUUUACUAUUUAGCGAACCCACAGUCAAGGGAACGGGCUUGAAAUAAUCAGCGGGGAAAGAAGACCCUGUUGAGCUUGACUCUAGUCCGACUUUGUGAAAUGACUAACGAAGUUUAGCCUUAGGUGGGAGCCAAACGCGCCAAUGAAAAACCACUAUUUGUUACGUCAUUUUACUUACUCCGUAAAGAAGUGAUCGGUUUACCGAUUCUAGAACUAAGGGUAGUUUACUGCCUGAGCUUUGCGGAAGACACGGUCAGGUGGGG